CUACAAACCCGAACUAUCGUUCCGUUAUAAACGGGAAGGAAAGUCCGGACAGCACAGAGCAACCUACCGGGUAACUCCCGGAUUCAAAUUUAUUUUUGAAAAGAAAGUGCCACAGAAAAUAACUACUCUUUUAAAAAAGAGCAAAGGUGAAAAUGUGAGGUAAGAGCUCACAGUUACAGCAAGUAAUUGUUGCAACGGGUAAACCUUAGGUGCUGUAAUGCCACAUAUAGAAGCCUUUGAGAACUGCUCGUUCAAUUUCUGAAAAGAAAAGGUUUCAGGGUAGGCAGCAAGAUUGUAACAGUAAUGUUACAACCAGAUAAAUGAUAGUGUAAAAACAGAAUCCGGCUUAUGAGGUUUGUAGCUUU
RNAcentral lists this RNase P RNA (365 nucleotides) under Bacteroidota bacterium. Its description in RNAcentral is "Bacteroidetes bacterium (activated sludge metagenome) RNase P RNA component class A". It matches the Rfam family "Bacterial RNase P class A". From Rfam's summary of the family: Ribonuclease P (RNase P) is a ubiquitous endoribonuclease, found in archaea, bacteria and eukarya as well as chloroplasts and mitochondria. The record is from RNAcentral. Lineage: Bacteria; Pseudomonadati; Bacteroidota.